GUGGGGAAUUUUGGACAAUGGGCGCAAGCCUGAUCCAGCAAUGCCGCGUGUGUGAAGAAGGCCUUCGGGUUGUAAAGCACUUUUGGCAGGAAAGAAAUAGCGCGUGCUAAUACCAUGCGCGAAUGACGGUACCUGCAGAAUAAGCACCGGCUAACUACGUGCCAGCAGCCGCGGUAAGACGUAGGGUGCAAGCGUUAAUCGGAAUUACUGGGCGUAAAGCGUGCGCAGGCGGUUUUGUAAGACAGGUGUGAAAUCCCCGGGCUCAACCUGGGAACUGCACUUGUGACUGCAAGGCUAGAGUGUGUCAGAGGGAGGCGGAAUUCCGCGUGUAGCAGUGAAAUGCGUAGAGAUGCGGAGGAACACCGAUGGCGAAGGCAGCCUCCUGGGAUAACACUGACGCUCAGGCACGAAAGCGUGGGGAGCAAACAGGAUUAGAUACCCGAGUAGUCC
RNAcentral lists this ribosomal RNA (450 nucleotides) under uncultured bacterium. RNAcentral describes it as "partial 16S ribosomal RNA". It matches the Rfam family "Bacterial small subunit ribosomal RNA", at positions 354 to 796 of the family's 1533-position model. The record is from RNAcentral.